Molecule: ribosomal RNA, 468 nt
Filed under: uncultured bacterium
Lineage: Bacteria
Description: partial 16S ribosomal RNA
Rfam family: Bacterial small subunit ribosomal RNA
Source: RNAcentral
GAUGAACGCUGUCGGCGUGCUUAACACAUGCAAGUCGAACGGAAAGGCCCUGCUUUUGUGGGGUGCUCGAGUGGCGAACGGGUGAGUAACACGUGAGUAACCUGCCCUUGACUUUGGGAUAACUUCAGGAAACUGGGGCUAAUACCGGAUAGGAGCUCCUGCUGCAUGUUGGGGGUUGGAAAGUUUCGGCGGUUGGGGAUGGACUCGCGGCUUAUCAGCUUGUUGGUGGGGUAGUGGCUUACCAAGGCCUUGACGGGUAGCCGGCCUGAGAGGGUGACCGGCCACAUUGGGACUGAGAUACGGCCCAGACUCCUACGGGAGGCAGCAGUGGGGAAUAUUGCACAAUGGGCGGAAGCCUGAUGCAGCAACGCCGCGUGCGGGAUGACGGCCUUCGGGUUGUAAACCGCUUUCGCCUGUGACGAAGCGUGAGUGACGGUAAUGGGUAAAGAAGCACCGGCUAACUACGUG